UUUCCAGCCAGGCUUCUGACUGAAGUCCAGCUCUUAUCUGGAUUUAGCCAAAGCAUGGCUGUAAA
Molecule: non-coding RNA, 65 nt
Organism: Mesocricetus auratus (golden hamster)
Lineage: Eukaryota; Metazoa; Chordata; Mammalia; Rodentia; Cricetidae
Source: Rfam